RNAcentral lists this long non-coding RNA (381 nucleotides) under Homo sapiens (human). Its description in RNAcentral is "HSALNT0295365". The record is from RNAcentral. Lineage: Eukaryota; Metazoa; Chordata; Mammalia; Primates; Hominidae.
CCUCGACCUCCCAAAGUGCUGGGAUUACAGGCAUGAGCCACCAUGCCCAGCCAAAGAUCAUUUUUUUAUAUAGACUUCAGCCCUUUGUAAAUAUUGUAACUGGGGAGUAUAGAGUAGAAAAAAAGUAUAGUUAAAACAUUUGUUCUACAAAUUAACCUUUAAAAAUAUAAUUACUGCUAAAAAUAGAGUGCUGUUACACUUAAGGAAAAUUAGUGCCAUUUUGGAAAUGAGAUCUUGUGCCAUAAAUACAGCUGAACUGAAUAUAAAUGUUCACAAAUUAAUGCUGUCAAAGGAAUGAGUAAAGCAGAAAAACUUUUAACCAGCAACAUUUCAAGUACGUAGUGUGAUCAAACAUGAUCAUCCAGAAUUUGUAUAUUUUUU